This 632-nucleotide ribosomal RNA is filed under the name Paraburkholderia fungorum. Its description in RNAcentral is "bacterial SSU rRNA". It matches the Rfam family "Bacterial small subunit ribosomal RNA", at positions 292 to 1533 of the family's 1533-position model. Lineage: Bacteria; Pseudomonadati; Pseudomonadota; Betaproteobacteria; Burkholderiales; Burkholderiaceae. The record is from RNAcentral.
CUGAGAGGMCGACCAGCCACAUUGGGACUGAGACACGGCCAAGACCCHACGGGAGGCAGCAUGGGGGAAUUUKGGACAAUGGGCGAAAGCCUGAUCCAGCAAUGCCGCGUGUGURAAGAAGGCCUWMGGGUUGUAAAGCACUUWUGUCCGGAAAGAAAACUUCUGUCCUAAUACGGCGGGAGGAUGACGGUACCGGAAGAAUAAGCACCGGCUAACUACGUGCCAGCAGCCGCGGUAAUACGUAGGGUGCAAGCGUUAAUCGGAAUUACUGGGCGUAAAGCGUGCGCAGGCGGUUCGCUAAGACAGAUGUGAAAUCCCCGGGCUUAACCUGGGAACUGCAUUUGUGACUGGCGGGCUAGAGUAUGGCAGAGGGGGGUAGAAUUCVACGUGUAGCAGUGAAAUGCGUAGAGAUGUGGAGGAAUACCGAUGGCGAAGGCAGCCCCCUGGGCCAAUACUGACGCUCAUGCACGAAAGCGUGGGGAGCAAACAGGAUUAGAUACCCUGGUAGUCCACGCCGACCUGGCUCUCUGAUAUAUAUCGGUAUUUGUCUCUAAAUCUAUAUGUAUAUGUAUGGCGGUCCUCUCUGCUAUCUCUGAACUCUCUAUGUGACAUCUGAUCACUUAAACCGCUCU